GAUGAACGCUAGCGGCAGGCUUAAUACAUGCAAGUCGUGGGGCAGCAUGAGUAGCAAUACUUGAUGGCGACCGGCAAACGGGUGAGGAACACGUACACAACCUUCCUUCAAGCGGGGAAUAGCCCAGAGAAAUUUGGAUUAAUACCCCAUAAUAUAUUUGAUAAAGGCAUCUUAUUGAUAUUAAAGCUUCGGCACUUGAUGAUGGGUGUGCGGCUGAUUAGAUAGUUGGCGGGGUAACGGCCCACCAAGUCUACGAUCAGUAGCUGAUGUGAGAGCAUGAUCAGCCACACGGGCACUGAGACACGGGCCCGACUCCUACGGGAGGCAGCAGUAAGGAAUAUUGGACAAUGGACGAAAGUCUGAUCCAGCCAUGCCGCGUGAAGGAUUAAGGUCCUCUGGAUUGUAAACUUCUUUUAUAUGGGACGAAAAAGGGCAUUCUUGUUCACUUGACGGUACCAUAUGAAUAAGCACCGGCUAACUCCGUGCCAG
This 489-nucleotide ribosomal RNA is filed under the name uncultured bacterium. Its description in RNAcentral is "bacterial SSU rRNA". It matches the Rfam family "Bacterial small subunit ribosomal RNA", at positions 28 to 511 of the family's 1533-position model. The record is from RNAcentral.